This 450-nucleotide ribosomal RNA is filed under the name uncultured bacterium. RNAcentral describes it as "partial 16S ribosomal RNA". It matches the Rfam family "Bacterial small subunit ribosomal RNA", at positions 354 to 796 of the family's 1533-position model. The record is from RNAcentral.
GUGGGGAAUAUUGGACAAUGGGCGAAAGCCUGAUCCAGCCAUGCCGCGUGUGUGAAGAAGGUCUUCGGAUUGUAAAGCACUUUAAGUUGGGAGGAAGGGUAGUAACCUAAUACGUUGCUACUUUGACGUUACCGACAGAAUAAGCACCGGCUAACUUCGUGCCAGCAGCCGCGGUAAUACGAAGGGUGCAAGCGUUAAUCGGAAUUACUGGGCGUAAAGCGCGCGUAGGUGGUUCAGUAAGUUGGAAGUGAAAUCCCCGGGCUCAACCUGGGAACUGCGUUCAAAACUGCUGAAGUAGAGUACGGUAGAGGGUGGUGGAAGUUCCUGUGUAGCGGUGAAAUGCGUAGAUAUAGGAAGGAACACCAGUGGCGAAGGCGACCACCUGGACUGAUACUGACACUGAGGUGCGAAAGCGUGGGGAGCAAACAGGAUUAGAUACCCCAGUAGUCC